This 1759-nucleotide long non-coding RNA is filed under the name Homo sapiens (human). RNAcentral describes it as "HSALNT0118314". The record is from RNAcentral. Lineage: Eukaryota; Metazoa; Chordata; Mammalia; Primates; Hominidae.
UACUGGCUGGGCGCGGUGGCUCACGCCUGUAAUCCCAGCACUUUGGGAGUGAGGCCAAGGUGGGUGGAUCAUUUGAGGUCAGCAGUUGGAGACCAGUCUGGCCAACAUAGUGAAACCGCGUCUCUACUAAAAAUACAAAAAUUUGCCAGGAGCCUGAGGCAGGACAAUCGCUUGAACCCGGGAGGUGCAGAUUGCAGAGAGCCGAGAUCGCGCCACUGCACUCCAGCCUGGGCGACAGAGUGAGUCUCUGUCUCAAAAAAAAAAAAAAAAAGUACUCAUAUCUCUUUUUCUGUAACUUUUAAAAUCCACUCCCAAAUACGUCUUGGGGGAACUUCCUAUGUCAGUAUAGCAUGGUAGUCCAUAACUGGAUUCUUCAAUAACAGUAAAUCUAGCUAUUUCCCCCAGCGGAAUGGGAAUUGUGUCCAACAUUUCAAACAUCUGGAAAAGUAUCAUCUAUACGCAGUGUAAUGUUUACAGCGAAUUCUGCCACUGCUCGCUGAUUUUAAACACAUUACCCUGUGUCUCAGUUUUUUAUUUGUAAAUGAUAUUUUACCACCUAAUUUACAGGGCUGUAGUGAGGAUUACAUCGAUUGACAUAUUUAUGGCAAGCUCUCAGAGAGUCUUGUACCUAAUACCAUUAUUUGCUCUGAUCCUUUAGUUUAGGCUCCUAGGAGACUUGAUUCUGGCUGACGUGCUGCGACUGUCAUCUUUCAGAUCAGAGUAACUCUGAGUCUGGUGGGAGUGUCUUCCCCCGACACCCCGUAUACCUCCGCUUUAAGAUGAGAGAAUCUUCUGUCGGUGCUAGCGUUCAGCGGCUAACGGAGGAGGCUUGACUCAACCUGCCGGACACUAAAGGACAUCACUCUGAGCCUGAGGGAGGGGCUCUCCUUUGGUCUCCCUCUUUUGUCCAGCCUUGCCCCAGGAUAUUUUUCUAAGCUGAGUUAGCCACUAGGCACUCCACAUCGCUGCCCGCAUCACCACGCUGCGGCAUCUGCUGUUGCAUCUGCGAUCCACAAGGCCUACACCAUUCGCCAUCGCACCUGGCUGUUUGUUGCAGAUAUUUCUCAGGUCUCUUUUACGCCCUGCUACACUCCUCACCUGAUAUCGCAAGGACUCUUUUUUUUUUUUUUUUGAGACGGAGUCUCACUCUGUCACCCAGCCUGGAGUGCAGUGGCAGAAUUUCAGCUCACUGCAACCUCCACCUCCCGGGUUCAAGUGAGUCUCCUGCCUCAGCCUUCUGAGUAUCUGGAACUACAGGUGUGUGCCAUCAUGCCUGGCUAAUGUUUACAUUUUUAGUAUAGAUGGGGUUUCACCAUGUUGGUCAAGCUGGUCUUGAACUCCUGACCUCAGGUGAUUCACACACCUCGGCCUCUCAGAGUGCUGCGAUUACAGGUGCGAGCCACCGCACCCAGCCAAGGACUCUUAAGUGUAACUGAUCCACCCUACUUUUCUCCCUGGCAUGAACGACUGUGCCCAGCCUUGUUUUUGUGUUUUAGCCAUUCCUAUUUAUUUAUUUAUUUAUUUAUUUAUUUUGAGACAGAUUCUCACUCUGUCAUCCAGGCUGGAGUGCAGUGACAUGAUCUUCACUUACUGCAACCUCUGCCUCCCGGGUUCAAGUGAUUCUCCUGCCUUAGCCUCCAGAGUAGCUGGGACUACAGGUGCGCACCACCAUGCCCGACUAAUUUUUUUUUUUUUAGUUUUUAGUAGAGAUGGGGUUUCACCACUUUGGCCACGCUGGUCUGGAUCUCCUGACCUUCUG